RNAcentral lists this unclassified non-coding RNA (281 nucleotides) under plant metagenome. RNAcentral describes it as "partial contains small subunit ribosomal RNA, internal transcribed spacer 1, and 5.8S ribosomal RNA". The record is from RNAcentral.
UUUCCGUAGGUGAACCUGCGGAAGGAUCAUUGUCGAAGCCUGACCAGCAGAACAACCUGCGAACUUGUAUACACAACCGGGGGCCGGGGCCCUGUAGCCGCGUGCCCUCGAACGGCAGGGAGACACCCGUGCCUUCUUGUCGAACAACGUACCCCGGCGCGGUCUGAGCCAAGGAACUUCAAUUAAAGAGUGCCACCGGUUGCCUCGGAAGCGAUGCGCGUGUCGGAGGCGAAUCUUGUACAAAACCAUAACGACUCUCGGCAACGGAUAUCUCGGCUCUC